ACUCCUACGGGAGGCAGCAGUGGGGAAUAUUGCACAAUGGGGGAAACCCUGAUGCAGCCAUGCCGCGUGUGUGAAGAAGGCCUUCGGGUUGUAAAGCACUUUCAGUAGGGAGGAAGGUAGUGUAGUUAACACCUGGCACUUAUUUGACGUUACCAUACAAGAAGAAGCACCCGGCUAACUCCGUGCCAGCAGCCGCGGUAAUACGGAGGGUGCGAGCGUUAAUCGGAAUUACUGGGCGUAAAGCGCAUGCAGGCGGCCUGUUAAGUCAGAUGUGAAAGCCCGGGGCUUAACCUCGG
Molecule: ribosomal RNA, 296 nt
Filed under: uncultured bacterium
Lineage: Bacteria
Description: partial 16S ribosomal RNA
Rfam family: Bacterial small subunit ribosomal RNA
Source: RNAcentral